This is a small nuclear RNA of 164 nucleotides. Its record names the gene U1. It matches the Rfam family "U1 spliceosomal RNA". Rfam says of the family: U1 is a small nuclear RNA (snRNA) component of the spliceosome (involved in pre-mRNA splicing). Its 5' end forms complementary base pairs with the 5' splice junction, thus defining the 5' donor site of an intron. The record is from Ensembl.
AUACUUACCUGGCAGGGGAGAUACCAUGAUCAGGAAGGUGAUUUUCCCAGGGCAAGGCUUAUCCAUUGCACUCCGGAUGUGCUGACCCCUGCGAUUUCCCCAAAUGCGGGAAACUCAACUGCAUAAUUUGUGGUAGUGGGGGACUGCGUUCGCGCUCUCCCAUG